Molecule: long non-coding RNA, 3192 nt
Filed under: Brassica napus (rape)
Lineage: Eukaryota; Viridiplantae; Streptophyta; Magnoliopsida; Brassicales; Brassicaceae
Description: long non-coding RNA (BNAP_LNC018076)
Source: RNAcentral
CACGGCUUCUUGCUUCAACCGUAGAAACGGUAAGAUGAUGUGCAGGUUUUGUGGAGUGAGGGAGGUGUGUAUGUUGUUGUUGCCAUGUAAGCAUAUGUGUUUGUGUAAGGAGUGUGAGAGGAACCUGAGCUCUUGUCCUCUGUGUCAAUCUUCCAAGUUUCUGGGGAUGGAAGUAUACAUGUGAUAUGAUAUUUUCCGUAAACUAAAAAACUCUAAUUAGCUAACGAACGCUUUUGUAAUUUGUCUUUGUUUUAUUAUGGAGUGAAUCUGUGUAUAACACAUAAAGAAUGUCGAUAUUAGCUCAAUACCCAAAAGUGAAAAAAAAGCUGGUGUACAGUGUUUUUCGUGCAGAACCAAAUUACCUUAGUGUACUUUAAUUAAAGGGGAGUUUGAAUAAUGGAAAUUUACCUAUGCCCUCCUGUACUUUGACAUGCUUCAAACUUCCCAAAUCCUUGUGCAAACAAAUUCAAUCGAUUCUGGUGGGACCUCAAACCAAACAUCCGGAAAAUGUGUUGGGUUGCUUGGGAUAAUCUCACACUCCCAAAGAACGCAGGAGGACUCGGGUUUAAAGAAAUAGAAGUCUUUAACGAUGCCUUGCUUGCAAAGAUACCUUGGCGCCUUCUCCGCAACCCAAACUCUCUUCUCGGCCAAGUACUUCUAAAUAAAUACUGCAAAUAUGAGAACCUGCUUAAAUGUUCAGCACCGGGGAAUGCCUCUCAUGGGGGGGAGGGGAAUCCUCGCCGGCAGAGAAAUCAUUAAGAGAGGAGUGGGAUGGAUCGUUGGAGAUGGUUGCAAUAUAAAUGUGUGGCAGGAUAACUGGCUGUCCACAACAAAACAACUCUGCCCAAAGGGAUCAGUUCCAGAAAACCUCCAGGAGCUAAGAGUCUCGGACCUGAUCUCUUCACAAUCUGCUGAGUGAAACUCCCGUGCGGUCCGAACCAUUCUCCACUAGUACGAAGACAAGAUCAACCUCCUGGUUCCUAGUGCGCUGGGGAUGCAGGAUGAGAGGGUUUGGCUACCCGAGAAGUCGGGGGAAUACACUACUAAAUCAGGGUAUGCUCUCUCAAAACUACACGUCACUCCCCGAACCCCUGAAGAUUUCAACUGGAAACAAUGCAUUUGGAAUGUUAAAUGUUCCCCAAAGCUCAGGCAUUUUUUGUGGAAGAUCAAAUGUAAUGCUCUAUCUGUGGGUGAUCUUCUUAAGAAAAGAGGCAUGGAGACAGACGGUACCUACAAGCGAUGUGGAUAUGAUGAAACUGUCCUUCAUGUCUUUCUCACUUGCCCUUUUGCGAAGAAGGUAUGGGACCAAGCCCCUGCUUGUGGGAACCGAAAUUCGCACUAACAAUUUACGUUUAAAUAAGGAAACUAGGAAAACCCUAAUUUCCCAAAGGUCCCGGAUAUCUGCUAAUACCACACGCCAAGCAAUCAGAACACAAUAAUGACAACGAUAAAGUAUAAGAAAUCGAAAAGAGAGCAAAGUAGAUCUUAUUCCGAAUUCGCGUUUGAGCGUUACAACAAAGUAAGAGCCUGGGCUACGAGAGCUGUCGGCGAGAUUCCUUGUUCUAAACCCUAAGACGGCAAAACCUAGUUGAGUCGCAGCUCGAAUAACAAAAACGGAAAUAUGCCUAAAUCGCUCUAAGUGCUAAGUUCUCUCUGAAAAAGUCCCUCUCAUGCCUCUCGCCUAGGACUCCUUAUAUACUGGCUCCUAGGUCGGUUUACGCUUUUCCUCUUCUGCCCUUAGGCCGCCAUAGCAUAAAAAUGGAGAUAUUCUAUUUUUUUCGAUCUUCGUAAUUAUCUUCAAAAUUUCGUAUUUAUCCGCGGAAACUUGGCUUUUAUUUUUCCUUGUGAACCAAGCGUAAACAAUCAUGCGGCUUACGGGCUGUUCGUUAAGAAAUCGUAAGUAGGGCCUCGAGUCAUGUCUUAGGUCCCUUUGGGCCGUCUUCUGACUCGAAGCGUUUAUUACGGCUUCUUUCGAUAAAGAACGAACUUUCCGCGGUUUUUACGGUAAAGUUUGAUCGAUAACUUAGAAUGGCGGGGAUCGUGAAAUGGAUUCGCUACGGUCUUCGGGAGAUAGCAUCGAAGGGUAGACGAGAAUGCAUAGACUAAUGUCGUAUCGACGUUUCGGAAGAGCUCACCUCCCUUUCUUUUUUUAAUUUUUAGGUUUUAAAAGUAUUAUGUUUGGCUUACCUUUGAAUUGAUCAGUCCACGUUGCUGGUUUUGCACCGGUUGUGCAAUUCGACGGUGUCGAGUGGAACAGCUUUGGUCGGAAGAGAGUAAAGGAAAUGGACUUCCUCGAGAACAAUUCUCAGAUAUCUUCAAUUGAUUUUUGGCAAGGCCGGUCUGUCUCAACCGGGUUGGGUCUCUCACUCGAUAGUCCUCCUAUCGGCUCUGCUUUGUUGCCCCUCGUCGGAGACGAUGUUGAGCGAGAGUUACAGAGGCAAGAUGCAGAAAUCGAUCGAUUUCUCAAGAUUCAGGUUAGUUCGCUUCAACAAAUUAUAUGUUACAAGGUUGGUUUAAUGCUCUUAUGACAGUUUGUACGAGCUUAGAUCCGUUUGGUCUGUAUCGGCUUAAUCCAUGUUAUUAUUGUGUAGCUUUCUAGGAUGUAUUGAUUUGUUUUAUCUUUAACAGGGAGACCAACUACGCCAUGCGGUCCUCGACAAGAUCCAGAGGAGUCAAUACAAAACCGUGGCCCUCAUGGAGGAAAGAGUUGUCCAGAAGCUCCGUGAGAAAGACGAGGAACUCGAGAUGGUAAACCGAACGAACAAGGAACUCGAGGUGCGGAUUGAACAACUGGCAAUGGAAGCUGAGGCAUGGCAACAACGUGCAAAGUACAACGAGAACAUGGUCGCUGCUCUCAACUACAAUCUGGAGCGAGCUCACGGUCGACCAAGAGAUAGCAUUGAAGGAUGUGGAGACAGCGAAGUGGAUGACACGGCUUCUUGCUUCAACCGUAGAAACGGUAAGAUGAUGUGCAGGUUUUGUGGAGUGAGGGAGGUGUGUAUGUUGUUGUUGCCAUGUAAGCAUAUGUGUUUGUGUAAGGAGUGUGAGAGGAACCUGAGCUCUUGUCCUCUGUGUCAAUCUUCCAAGUUUCUGGGGAUGGAAGUAUACAUGUGAUAUGAUAUUUUCCGUAAACUAAAAAACUCUAAUUAGCUAACGAACGCUUUUGUAAUUUGUCUUUGUUUUAUUAUGGAG